GGACAAAGCACUCAUUACAACAUCUUUACUUUCUUUUACAAUGUAAAAAGAAAGUAAAGAUGUUGUAACAAGUGCUUUGUCA
Molecule: non-coding RNA, 82 nt
Organism: Pelobates cultripes (western spadefoot toad)
Lineage: Eukaryota; Metazoa; Chordata; Amphibia; Anura; Pelobatidae
Source: the annotation of a GenBank genome assembly